Molecule: non-coding RNA, 249 nt
Filed under: Streptomyces pactum
Lineage: Bacteria; Bacillati; Actinomycetota; Actinomycetes; Kitasatosporales; Streptomycetaceae
Source: RNAcentral
CUACUGUCGCCACGCCUUGGUGAACGGGAAACCGGUGUGAUGCCGGUGCGGCCCUCGCCACUGUGAAUCGGGAAGUCCGGCUCCGGCCUCGGGGCCCGUCGUCACAUGCCCGUCGUCCGCCCGAAGGGCGGGCGGGAAUGUGACGACAGGCCCCAGCGGGCAGCCACUGGAUCGCUUGCGGUCCGGGAAGGCGGAGCACGGGCGGUGGUACCCGUAAGCCAGGAGACCGGCCAAGGCGCGUCGUCCAUC